AGCGGCCUUGGAGCGCAGGGCCACCAGCUUCUUCUUGGCCACGUAGAAGGCCUUGGCCUUGGCCUUGCGCUUCUCCUCCAGCUCGGCAACGGCGGCCUGGUGCUUCCAGCCCACCUAUGGAUGAAGAGGGAGGCACAGGGUUAGCGGCGCGCCGGCGGGGAAAAGCGUCCGUUAUGGUGUGAUCGUCCGUGGUGGCGUAGGGACGGCUGGCGGCUGCGCGCUCAGGUGCUGGACUGCAUAGCUGUCCACGCCAAGUGCGUCCGAGGCGACUUGCUCCGCCGAGCUCCAGUCCGUUAGCUGCCGGCACGGCGUGGCGUUCGCCCCGUCCUCCCUCCGCCACAGCCGCUGCAUGCCUGGGGCUUUCUGACCCGACUGUCUCCACAGCGCCCCUGUGCUGCCGCCGCCUGCCGCCGCCCGCGUUUAACUUAAGCAGCAAUCGCCAGUAGCUCCAUUGCGCCUCGCCGCUUCGCCGAGUGUUAAUCACCAGCUGUCGGCUGGUCCAUCCGAGGAGCGUCUCAACGCCGACGCAUCAGACACCGCGACGCUCCCCCAAGCCGCAGGUGUGCAUUCCCUCCUUCCGCACCAUUCGCAGCCGCUGGUCUCCCCUUCGCCUGCGGUCACUGCCCACCCUCCCGGCACCCGCCGCCCUUGUCUUCCAGCAGGCCGACUCACCGAGGCGGACAGGUCGCCCAGCUUGCAGUUCCGGUGGCCGUGCUGCAGGCGCAGGACCUUCAGGGCGUCGGGCACCACCAGGCGCUUCACCUUGUCGUAAGGGUGGGGGAUACCCUCGAACGCCUUGAGGCGCUCCAGGGCAGCGGCACCGCGAGCGGUCUUGUGGGGGAUCAUGCUGCAGGCAGGGCCGCGGGAAGGAGGCAGCGGCAGGAGAGGGAGCAGACACACAUGAGGACAGCGCACGCAAAAGUGCAUGUAACAUGCAUGGGCCGACCGUAACCCCAAGACGCAGCCGAACGGGCUCACGCGGGGACCGGCAGCUGAGAGCGCUGGUGGUUCUUGCCGGCGGCUGCCCAGCUGCUGAGCUGCGCUUGAACUGAUCCGUGCUGCCCUGCGCUGCAACCAUGGCGCAGUGCCGAGCCCGAAAGGUGUGUCUGAGCCUCCUGGCGAGGUGCCGCCACAGACACUGGCAAACUGAUGCGCUUGGCAAGCAGCCGGGUCCCUGGCUAUGCGGCGACGAUGCUUCCGCAGCUCUUUGCUCUGGUCCUCUCAUACGCCCGCCCGAAUCCCCGCGCCUGACGAUGACAGCGCUGCAGCAGAGGGUCCAACGCUCAGCUUCGCGCGCCCAUUGACAGAGCAAUCAGCGGUUGCUGGUGCGCCUGGCUGCCAUUCCCAUCGCGACUACCAGCAUCACGGUUAGCGGACUGGCGCCGCCGGACCCUACACCAGGCGCCUGGAAGCAGCGGCAGCCGGCUCAGCAACUGCGGACUGCUGCAGCUUGCCCUGGUGCGCUGGGCCUCCACCAGUUCCGCAGCCAUAAUGCCGCAGCUGAACCUCCAUUUGCUCCGCGCGGGAGCCCAUCCGCAGGCACUCCGGCGCUGCAGCACUGACUGCGCAUGAGCGGUGGGCGCAACUGCCACACGUACGGCAUCUCAUGAACAUCUGCUGGAGCCUGGUGCCAGCAGCCAUAGACCGCCCUUUCGCCAGGGCUGCCACACGGAAGCCAGGCAACGCCUCCGCCAUUGUCCCGCUGGCAACGCCGCCGAUAUGGCCCCACCCCUGGACCUCUGCAGCUGUUCACCGGCAGGCUGGCAGGCGCCGGCUGGCUCCGCCACUGACCAGUAGCUGCCUGGCAUGCUACUUAUCGCUGCUGCUGCGCCUGGCGCCUGCGAGCUUGCUGCUCGCCUGCAAGUCGUCCGCCUACCCCCGCCGGAGCGGGGCAGGUGUUAUCGGGCGUGUCGGCCCCGUCCGCUCGCCCCACCGCGUCAAGUUCAGUAUUCGCGAGAUAUCAGCUUGCUGCCCUUCCAAACCAAGCUUCUAGGCCCCCCGCGACGACGACGCAAGCCGACAUGCUACUCACCCGCGCACAGUCCGCCAGAAGAUGCGCGAGGGGGCGCGGAAGUGGAAGGGGCCGCGGGUGGGGUUGGUGUUCAUGCGCUUGCGCAGGAAGCGGUCAUACUUCAUCUUCUGGCGCACCAGGCCGCCCGAGAUGGUAAUCUCCUCGGCGCGGACGACCACCUGCAAAAUGCACCGAGCCCGUUACACUCAUGACAAACCUCCAAGUCACACGGACGUAGGCCAGAAGCAGUCGCAGGCUCGCGCGGUUGCCGCCGCGCCCCUGUCGCCGGCGGCUAUGCGGGCGACCCAAGCCCCCAAAAAAUAGACGAGCCCCGCAGCCGCCACGGUGUCGUCCCAACGAUCCCAUCUGUCCUAAACGGCGUCCUUGCGCCGCACACUGCUUACAAUCUGCUGCCCGGCAAGAAUCUGCUUGGCCACCACAGAGGCCAGGCGGCCCAGCAUGUGGGCGCGCCCGUCGAUGACCACAGUCUGCGCGCAAAAAUACAGAGUGGCAGGCAGCCGUCAGGGGCGGUGUUCACGAGCAAAGGCUAGGUGCGGCGCAAAGGACAGUUGCGAAUUGGUGGGGAUAAACUGACCUUAGGCAUCUUCUUUGGCAAACGCUAAAAGAGAGGGAGGAGACGGUGCUCGCCCGCUCUGAAGACUGGCCCCGGUCGCGAUGGGCACGGCGAAUGGCAAGUCGCUCAAACCCUUGCUUCUGCCCUGCAUACCCUAUGUACCUGGUUAUGUAUGCUAUCGCCUAUCCUUAACAUUUUGCUGGUGUGAGCUUCGGACUGGUCCCCUAAACUUGAACCCCAAAAGCGCAGUGCUUGAAUCCUCUGCGACCUGGUGCCACCUGACAUAAUUCAUGCUCAAACAGAGCUUGCGAACUCGCUGCCCUAACUUAGGGGGCCUCUAGCUGUCGUGGAACUGUGGAGAACUCGAGGGCAUCUCUCUGAGCUGACGGGGCGACCUAGGCAACUGGGUCUGCCGUUUGCUCGUAUGUGGGCGCGAUGCCGUUGGCGUUCCGUAGCAACAGUCGGCCUCGCGGAAAUGGUGUGGCAACACCCCUGACCCUGCCCGCGACCAGUGGCGGAGCGGGUCCGCCAACCUCGUCGUCUCUCACGGCUUUCGCGUAUGCUGUGCACAAGGCUGCACGGUUAAGGUAAGCACUCGGUUUCAGAAUCUGCAACCGGGUUGUGAGAAGACCUGUGGGGUUUCGGGCCUUCAGGGUUGGGCUCCAGUAGACCGGAAGACACGACGUGCUGGACAACCCUACCAGGUCAGCACGCACGCGACGGGAUUCCGCGCGCGAUGACCGUACGCUAUCGUUGCGACAAGAGCUGCAGGGACCCCUGCUUCACACCUGACCUUAUGCCAUCUCCACAAUCCGCUUGCCACACUCUCUCCCUUGUCUCCGACUUCCGACACCGCUUGAACCUCGCCGCCUUCAUGUCGCUCACGCCAGCUCGCCCCGCGCCGGCCUCGCUGCCCCCUGCUCCCGCCAGGUCGCCAGUGGGGCCCUCCCAGUGGAAGUCGCUGGUGCUGGAUGAGCUGCUGGCGGUCGAGUUCGAUGAGUUCCUGGCGCACGUGGCCGACAAGGUUUGUUGCGAGUCACCUGUUUUGCCUGUGGCCGCCUCUACCGCCCCACACCAAUUGAGAGCAGCCAGUAUUGACUAGCGGUGACGGUGUCACGCAUGUGCACGCCCCACCAGGGCCUGGAGCCGGAGAUUCGCGCCGAGGUGUGGCCGCUGCUGUUGGGCGUGUAUUCGCCGGAGCACAGCGCGGAGCAGCGCGCCGCCGCCUACAGCGAGCUGCGGCGCCGCUACGAGGGGCUCAUGCAGCGCUGCAGGGUGAGAGGCGCGUGGUAGGGGUCUCGGUGCGGGACUGGGCGGGGCCGCGCUACAGUGUGGUGUUCAGCCAGUGCUGGUGGCGAGCCGUGAGGUCCUGUAAGGCCGUGUGGGGCAGCUUAUGUGCCGGGGUUCGCUGGCGACUGUUGACAGUUGCGACUGUUGUGAUCUCCCAUGCAGGAGCUGGAAACGGCGUUUGUUGAGUCCACGACCGCUGUCCGUCGCAGCGUGCGGCCGCACGGCAUCAGUGGAGGUGGCGCGCCGCCGUUACCGCCGGCCGCCACUGCUGCUGCUGUCUCCUCUGCUGCUGUGGACGCUGCGGCAGAGGAGGCUUCGGUUGUCAUCCCCGCCCCCACGCCGGUCGCAGCUGAGUCAGCUGACGGAUUGGCGGCUGCAGGAGCGGCGGAUGAGCCGCUACCCGGCAGCUCACUGGGCGAUAGCACCAGCAACAGUGAAGGUGUCGCCACAUUGCAUGCGACGGAGGAGCAAGAGGAUAGCGAUGGUCGCAGCGUGCCCGCCUCCUCCUUACCCUCGGCCGCCGUGCUGCCGCGGGCGGAAACCGCUGUGCCGGCCGGCGCCGGCGGGGGCGAUGACACUGCGGCCGCGACGGGCACUGGCGCAGGCGCGGACGCCGCCCUGGACGCCGGCAGCAGCCCACGGGGCGGUCUGCUGCCCGUGGGCCACCUCAGCCGCCAUGACAUGCCGCCCGAGCUGCGGCCGUACUGGGAGUCGCAGCAGUGGAUUGCAAUGGACGCCAUCCGCACCGACUUUAAGAAGAACGCCCUGCCGGGCGCUACCGCCGCCGCCACCGCCGCCUCACAGGGCGCCUCGGCCUUCGCCACCGCCACCAGCGGCGGCCUCAGCCUGAGCCUGUCGGGACUGGGCAUCACGGGUCUGGGCGGUGGCGGCAGCAACGGCGGCCUCGCAGCGGGAGGCGGUGGCGGCGGCGCGCCAGCGGUGCGGGAGGCGGUCAUGUCCGCGCCAGCGUCCGUGUUGGGGUCGCCGGUUGGGCCGCCGGCGCAGGCGGAUGUCGGCGGGGGCGCUGCGGAGGGGCCGCCGCCGGCCGAGGCGGGCCUUCCGGGGGACACAGCGAGCGGGCCGUCAACGUCGCUGGUGUCGACGUCGUCUGCGGGCGGCGGCCGCAUUGCCAGCUGGCUGGCCUCGGCGCGGGAGCGGAUGGAGAGCAGCUCGCUGUACCAGGCGGCGGCGCGGCGCGGCCGCCAGUCGCUGCCAGCCGUGAGUGAUGAGGACGUGGCGUUGGCGGUGGCGGCAGGCCAGCCGGCGGUGGCGGCGGCCGCGACGGCCGCCGCGGCUGGCGAUGCCAGCGCUGGCAUGAGUGGGAGCGCUGCAGAUACGCUCGGGCCUUCGUCCGACAUCGCUUCCACAGCGGGCGCGGUUGCAAGCGAUGCACCUGAGACGCAGGCUGCGCAGCUGGCAGCGGUGGUGGCGGCGGCCGGGAGCAGUGCCGAGGAGCAACAGCAGCUGGACUCGGAAGUGUCACUAGGCCGUGGGCUUGAAGCGGCAGCCGCACCUGGGCCACAGGACGCCGAGCCCGCCGGCUCGCCGGCAUCUGACACGGCCCCGGUUGCGCGAGUCUCUGACCAGACCCAGUCCGCACCGGCUGCCACCGCCACCGCCGCCGGCGCAAGCACUGGUGCCGCCGCCAGCACCAGCGGCUCCACAGGUUGGCUGGCCAGCGCCAAGGAGCGCAUCCAGGCCGCUCGCCGCAGCCUGCAGACCACCAGCCGCGACCAAGUGCAGGGGCAGCAGGCCGCCGCCAAAACCACAGACGAGCCGGCGGCGGCCGCCGCCGCGUCACAGCAGCCGCAGCAGCCAGACCAGGUGCAGCAGCAUGACCAGCACCGGCAGGAGCAGGGGCAGGGGCCGGAGCAGGGGCAGGGGCAGGAGCGGGCGGGUGGGUUGGAGCGCAGCAGCACCGAGAUGCUGGAAGCCGCACUCCAUUCCGGGUCAGGAGGACCAGGAGCGGAUGAGGAUGGUGCAAGCGCCCCGACAGGAAGUGGGACGGCUGACGCCGCUGUCACUGCCGCGUCCGCGGCGGCUGCGGCCACUGCGGCCUCUGCCACAGAGAUGACGGCUCGCGCGACAGGUGCUAGCACGGCGGGCGCGGGUGCUGCGGCGUUGAUGCCAACGUCGGCCAGUAGCGAUGACGCCGGCACUACAUCAGUGGGCUGGCUGGCUAGCGCCAAGGAGCGCAUCCAGGCGGCCCGCCGCAGCCUGCAGACCAGCAAGGAGAACCCAGUGCAGCCCAAGCCGCCGCCGGUACUGGCGCCCUCGCAACAGCCGACGCCGCUGCAAGCGGCAGGGGGGCCGCAACCACAGCCACAUCAAGGGACGUCUACUGGCGGUGACGUGACCACCGGCUGCAGCGGCGCCGCCUCUGCGGCAUCCUUACCUCACCCGGCAGCAGCAGCAGCAGCCACUGGCGACGGGGCAACUCCAGAGCCAUUGACAGCUGAGGUGCCAUCGGCUGCCACCGCAGUUGGAGCAGCUGAUGCCGGCGCGCAGCAGCAGCAGCCGUCAGACGUUGCCUUACAACAUCCCUGGACCGGGGCUGCUGCGGCAGCGGCGGCGGCAGCAGCAGUACCAGCCGCCUCUGCUGCGACCGCGCCGGCGACGGCACUGUCAGCAACUGGGGGCUCAGGCGAACCCACACCGCCCGUAACAGGCGAUUCCCCGCCUCUGCAGUGCACCUCGGUGUCGCCCACCACGCCUGGAGGCAGCAACGUCGCCGGCUCGCACCUCUUCUCCUUCAGCAGCGUCUCCAGCAUCGCCGACGCCUACGCGGACGCUGCCGCAGCCGCCAGCGCCCGCGCAGCGGCUGCCUCCGCCUCCGCCUCUGCCGCGAGCUACGGCUCCGUGCCACCGGUGCUUGAUGCCACGCAGCCGCACACCCACUCGCACUCCCGCCUGCAAGUGUCGCUGCCGCUGGGGUCCGCCGACUCCACGCCGCUGCCCUCCACGGCUUCGGCCGCGGCCGCGGCCGCGGCCUCCACUCAGAAUCCCUGCAUUGACGCGGGCCCGUCUUCGGCAUCAGCGCGCGCCGCGGCCGCAGCUCCUGCCAUGCUGACAAGCACCACCGGCAAGCCGCACGCCCGCAGCCGCUUCGCCGCGGACGCCCUCGCAGCGGCCAGCGCCGCCGGCGCUACCCCGGGUGGCGGCGGCUGCUGCGGCGGCGGCGGCCUUGUCGGCGGCAGCGAGGGCUCACCGGCUCUGUCGCUACCGCCGCUGGCGCAGUCGGACUCGCCGCUGCUGCCCGCCAGCACCGCCACCACGCCCGCCGACGUCGGGGCCAUGCCGGGCACCUCGUCCACCACCCCAGGCGACCUGACGGCUGAGCACCCCAGUGACCUGGACCUGGGAGCCGAGCCCGACGCCGGCCGCCGCAGCGGAAGCGCUGGCGGCGCGGCGCCGGAGGCGCCAGACGGCGGCGGCUCCGCCGCCGCAGAUCUUGCGGGGGCAGCAACGACGACAGUGGAUGCGCCUGAAGGAGGAGCAACUCCUGCCGCUGGAUCGUCGUCUGCUAGCAUCGCCAUUGCUGCUGCGUCGUCUGCAGCGCCCGCAAUCCGGCGCUCCGCCAGCGGCCUGCCCAGCUGGUUCAGCCGCCCAGGGGAUGCCAACUCUUCGGCGACAGCAGCAGCGGCAACGGCGCUGCCUGCUGCCGCUGCCGCCGCGGCUCCAGCGCCCGGCACGUCCGCGCCAGAGUCCAGCUCUGGCAGCGGCCUCGGCUGGCUGCGCCGCUUCGCAAACAGCACCUCGUCCGGAGCGCCUGCGGCCAGCACGUCGGCGGCGGCCGCCCUGCCGCCGCUGCCGCCAACCAGCUCCGCAACAACGGCACCAGCGGGGCCGGCCCUGGCGGCCGCGGUGGCCGCGACGCCGGGCGCGCAGCUGCCAGCGGCCGUGGUAGAGGCCAGCGGCGGAAGCGGGAGCAGCAGCGGACUGUCGUGGCUGCGGCGGCUUGCCGCUGAGUCGGGGCUAGGAUCAUCCGCGGCGCAUGCGGAGGUGGGCACGCCCACAGGCGCCGCGACGCCCACUGCAGAGGCCGCGGCGGCGGCUGCCACCUCAGCUUCGGGACUGGGCACCGGCAGCAGCGGGCUGCACUGGCUGCGGCGCUUCGCGGAGCCCUCGCCAGCGCCACCGCCUUCACUGCCGCCGGUUGCGGCUGCGCCGGCUGACGGCGCCACCCCGGCAGCUGCGCCGCCGCCGGCAUCAUCAGGCCCUGUGUCGGGCGGCCUGACGUCGAGCCUGAACCCAUCCAACUGGCUGCGCCGCUCAGCUGAUUCGGCGCCACAGCUUGUGCCACCGCCGCCGCCACCUGAAGCCGGCGGCGUCGAAGCCGCUGCUGCUGCAGCUGCCACGCCGGGAGGCGCCGGUAGCGUCACACCGAUAGCCGCCGCUGCUGCCGCCGCCGCCGACGCCGCCGCAGCAGCUCCCAAGACCUCGCUGUGGCUCCGCCGCAUGGCCACCGAGUCCGCCGCCACGUCCGUCUCCGCCUUCGCCGCAGCCGCCGCCACGCCCGCGCCCGCCUCGCCCACCGGCCCCAUCACCAGCGUUACCGCCGCCGCGGCCACCCACGCCGCCGCCGCUGUCGGCAGUAGCAGCGCCGGCGGCUACAGCCACAGCCAGUGGCUGAGCUGUGUGGCUCGCUACCACCUGGACCACUCGGCCCACUUCACGGCGGGGCAGCGGCGGCAGGUGGAGCGGCUGGUGGCGCUGCUGUCGGCCUACGCCGCACACGACCCCGCGCUGGGCUACUGCCAGGGGUAAGCACCGGCCGCCGGCGUUGUAGGGAGGGAGCGAGCCGCAGGCCUUGGGUGGCAGCUUGUUUCCUUACAGCGCCUUCACGCCGCGCCUGCUUGAGCACACUGACGUUAGCCGUAUCCUCCCCAUUUCGGCACUAACACUUGUCUCGCUGCAUAACCCCUUUUCGACCUCGCUCGCGCGCCCCGCAGCAUGUCCGACCUGGCGCUGCCGUUCCUGCUGCUGCUGGACGAUGACGCGCUGGCCUUUGCCUGCUUCGCCGCGCUCAUGGUCAAGGUGCGGGCCAUGUCUCAACCGGCGACCACCCCUUGCACCUGGAAACAGCACUCGCUGCGCUCUUGGGGCCGUGCCUUAGUCCACACAGCCCCUUCACCUCUGCCCCCUGCCCCGCCCCCUGCCGCGCCCGCAGGUCCGCGCCAACCUGCUGCCGCGCCACUGCGACGGCGUGUUCGAGCGACUGGCCGCGCUGGGGCGCCUUCUCGCCGCGCUGGACCCGCCGCUGGAGGCGCACCUGCGGCGCCUGCACGCCGCGCCCGACUGCCACUUCGCGCACCGGCUGGUGGCGGUGGCGCUGCGGCGCGAGCUGCCCGCCGAGCUGGCGGUGCGGCUGUGGGAGCAGCUGUGGGCCGACGACCUGCUGGAGGAGCGCCUGGCGGAGGAGGCGGAGGAGGAGGAGCGGGAGCGGGAGGCGGAGGAGGAAGAGGCGGCGAGGGAGCGCGCGGCGCGGGUGGAGGGCGAGGAGGGCCCGGCGGCGGCGGUGGCUCUGGCGGCGGCCGCCGCGGAGGAGGAGGCGCUGGUGGCCGCUGCGGCGAAGGCGACGCCGGCGGCCGCCAGUGGUGGGGUUGAUGGCGCUGAGCAGCCGCAGCCAGCGGCCGUUUUGCCUGAGCCGGCUGCGGUGGCAGCGGCUGAGCCGGAGGCAGCGGCGGGCUCUGUGCCGGCUGCAAGCGGCGGCGCCUCGGGCAUCUGUGGCAUUGUGUCGGCUGCAGAACGGGCUGAGGGCCUUGCCUCCGCGGCCUCGGACAUUGCCACCGAAGCUGCGGGUGGGGUUGGGGCUGAUGUCAAGGCACCGCCUGAGGGCACGGCAACCUCCCCCGUCCCGCAGGCGCCAGUAGCGGAGGAGGCUGCAGCAACAACAGCAGCAGCAGCAGCUGCAGCAGUUGCUGAGGAUAGCACGGCCCCCGAGGAAGCCGCCAGCAGUGCCGCCUCUUCCCCAGACGCCGGCGAGGUUGUCGCCGCAGUUGCUGUGGACAGCAGCAGCACGAGCCUUCCGAACAGCAGCGGAUGCGGCGCAGCCGCUGCUGACACCGCUACAGGGGAUUCUAACACGUCUCCACUUAACGCGGCCUACACCACCACAGCACCCUUAACAACCACCACCGCAACCUCAACCACCACCACCGCAACCUCAACCACGCCAACCACGGCCAUCACACCCACCGAGCCGCCGCCGCCGCCCGCCUUCAGCCGCGAGCUGUUCCAGUACGUGGUGGCGGCGGUGGUGCUGUCGCACCGCCGCCGCCUGCUGGACUGCGCCGAGCUGGACGACGUGCUGCGGCUGUUCCAGCAGCUGCCGCACAUGAGCCGGGCCGACGUGGCGGCGGCGCUGCAGCGGGCGCGCGAGUACCGCGAGCGCGUGGCGCCGCGAGCGGCCGUGUACGCCGCGCAGCGGCGGGCGGCCAAGGCGGCGGCCGGGGCGGCGGAGAAGCGGGCUGCGGGGGAGAGGGAGGGGGAGGUGAAACUGGCGGCGGUGGCAGCAGCGGCCGCAGUGGCGGGCGCCGCGGCGACGGCGGCGGCAGCAGCGGCGGCGGCGGGGCUGCAGGAACUGGAGGCGGCGGCGGCCGAGGCGGGCGCGGGGCUGGUGGCGGGCGCGGCGGAUCUGGCCGCCGCCGCGGCGGUUUCCGGGGUGCCGCCCGGCGCCCCCGUUGCAAAGCUCUAGAUGCUCCGCGGCGUAAACGGCUGUGAUAUGCUGUGGUGCUAUGUUGUAGUAUCUGCAUGGGUACGAGGACUGGGCCGGCAUCGACACGAGGAUGGGGCCGCGUAGCGGGGAAACGAUGCAUGCAAAUAAGAAGCCCCGGGGGAACGAUAUCUCAGCAAAGAAUUCUGACCCAUGGAAAUCAGAGGGCUGCGUAGCGAGCGUAUCUGUAUGGCAGCAUCUGGCGAAGAGGCGGGUGUGCAGGAUUAGGCACUAGGCAGGUGUGCGCAUUAGGCAGGAGGGCCAAGGCUCUGGGGGACGGCUGGUGCUGUGCGUGUUGUGACCGUGUGGGGUGCUGUAGGCAGGCUUGAGACGCAACGUGGGUCCGUCAGGGUGCAGCGGCCGAUGCACGAUUGCGAUCAGUGGUUGUGGCGUGUGUCCGGGCUCUGGCCCGCCCUCCUGACGCGCGAUUUGGAUUGCAUGCGGAUGGCAGGUGGGUCACGUGGAUUUGAGUGCAUCUGUGUGAAGGGUAAGUCUGUUUCAGCGUAGGCGCCAUCUGCGCAGCGUGCGUGAACACGUCAGCGAGUACUGAGCAUUGUGGAAGCGACUCCCCCGGGCGGCCAGAAGCGUGGGGGUGCUAUGCAUGCUGCUUAUUGCGCACUGUGGCACGGGGAUUGCUGCAUGUAACGCAAGAUGUGGCAACUGACUGCACACAAAAGAACAAGCCGAAAGAGAACCGGCAGCUAGAGGUUGCGUAGGACGGGGCAUGUGGGAUACCUAGGGCCAUUGCCGUGUGCACGAGCAUGUGAGAGGGCGACAGGCUGAGAGCCUCUCCACACUGCGAGCAUUCUCAUAACCUCACCAGCAGCUGACCGCCUGACACUCCCACCCAUACUCUUACACUGCUCAUGCCGCAACGGUUUUGCGCCAGGGCUUGCAGUCCAGUUCGUCAACAGGACACUUCCAUCGUUCCAUGCUAGGGCCGUGCAGCAGCUGUCGCAACCGCGAUGCGGUGACGCCCUCCGCAUAAACGCCGCCUUCCCCCGGGAUCCCCUAGUCCUGCACCAUCGCGCUCAGCCGCCAGCCCGCCGCAUAGCCGUGCCUGCCGCUGUCCGCCUUGGCACCUGCCACCGCCUCCGCCACCUUGGCCUCACGCCGCGCCGCCGCCUCCACCGCCUCGCGCGCCCCCGCCGCGGACGCUUCGGCGUCAUUGGCGUUGCCGGCUGCAGCGGCGGCCGCCGCCUGUCGCUCCAGCGCCGCCGCCAACGCCCGCUUGCUGCGCGCCUCUGCCCACAUGUCGCCUGCAAAGGACAGGAAGCCAAGCCGUCGCGUGUUGCCUCGGAUGUGACCCCAGCCGAUUGCAAACAGGGCCCGCCAUGCACGCCCCGCGCCUCCGCAUCCACACCCACACACGCGGCCAUCCUGGCAGGCCAGCACACAUCGGGUUGGCACACUGGCACCCUUUCACCAACCCCAAAGCUUCCGCCGCCUCCACCACGGCCACCGCACCCACCGCCCCACCUCCCCGGCCCCCCGCCGCCCCACCUGCUGCCCGCGCGAAGGCCGUGGCGCUCCUGGCGGCCUCCAGGGCGCUGUGGCAGUCCACGAGCUUCUGCGGCCCCAGGAAGCUGAGCGCCAGCUCGUUCAGCACUCCGCAUACCACCUGGAAAGGGGGGGCAUGUGCGUGACUGGUUAAGUGGUUAGGAGGCGGCCAGGUCAGAACAGCGCAGCGUGGCACAGCCGCGGGCUUGAUGGAUGCGUCCAGAAGAUGCGUCUGCGACUGCCCCCGCGCAGCAUUUGAGUGCCGCCGGCAGCGCGCCUGCAGCACCCGGCGGUGACACGAGCGUGCACGACACCACACGGCGCGCACAGACAAGCCCGUACGCCACACAGUGUCCAGCCCAUAUCGUGAGCGACCUCUCGCUCUCAGCCUCGUCCUCUGCCGUCCCAGCCUGUGCCGGCCCUGCCCCGGCCACCGCCGCACCUGCAUGUGGCCCAGCUUGCGGUGGGCGGUGCGCAGCGCCUUGGACAGCUGCGGGGUGGGGGUGGCGGAGGUGUGGGGUGGCGGAGGUGGGGGUGGCGGAGGUGGAAAAUGAUGAAAGAAGGCUGGAGCGAGGGAGGGCAUCACCACAGGGCCCGUCAACGCUCUGCGAACCGACGCGCAGCAAAGCCCCAAGGCGCCGCCUACCGCCCCUAGCCGCCCCUCGCUCGCCCCCCCCAGUGGCGGCCUCACCAGUGCGUUGGCGGCGGGUAGGUUGCCCUGCUGCGCCAGGCAGGCGGCGGACGCCAGCAGCGCCGCGGCGUCCUCCAGCCCGCCCAGCCGCGCCGGGGCGGAGCCGGGGGCCGCCACCGCACUGCGGGAGGCAAGCGUGUGAGGGACGUUGGUUGACCGGGCACAUGACGUAAGUGAGGCCGGCACUUGGAACACGACAUGUACAGCGCCACAUCGCCACAUUGCCAUCGUGGCCAUGCGUAAAACGGUUUCCACCGCAGCUCGGCGAGGGGGCACACAGAGACCCCACAUCCCACAAACACACAUACAUAGACACGCACCCUGCGUAGAAGGGACCCAGCGCCUCAAUGGCCCGGGCCAGGCUCGGCCCGGGCCCCACGGCCGCCGCCUCCUGCCCCUGCACUGUGUGCUGCGCCGCCGCCGCGUGGGCGCGCGCCUGCGCCUGCGCGGCGUCGUCCAGGCUGAGGUGCGCCGCCGCCUCCAACACACUCGCCACCGCGGCGGAGGCGGGGUUGGGCGCGUGCUGCCGCGCCGCCUGCAGGUAGGUGGGUGCAGAGUGGUAGUGGUGGUGGUGGUGGCGAUGGUAGCGUGGCGGUUGGGAGUAAAGCCGGAGGCCUGGAAUCGGUCUGGACAGGCGACGGCAGGUCAUGCAGCAAAAGUAUGCACCGUAACAAAUACGCCUCGUAUGCACUACCCCGCGCGAUGCUUUCUCUUCAUCCUUACCUUAUGUGUGCUCUUACACACACACACACACACACACAUGCACACACACACACGCACAUGCGCGACACACGCACCUGGAAGUGCGCCGCCGCCGCGGCGUGCUCCCCCGUGGCUGUGCAGUACUGGCCUGUCAGCAGGUGGGCGGCGGGCAGCUGCGGCGCCAGCAGCCGCGGGUAGCGCUCGCACAGCGCCUGCACACACAGCACCUCCCCACGCGCCGCAGCCAGCUCGCCCUGCGUGGCAUGUGUUGGAGAGCACAAGGGAAACCAUACGCGCAGGACAGUGUAUGCGGUGCAGGGUUACGGCCGCGGCAUGUGCUUUGCAUGUGUUGUGUGCUAUAGGCACGCAUGAGAAGGCGCGCAGGGUGGCGACAGCCGCGUGCCAGGCGGAUGGGUUCCAUGCCGGGCUGCCAGUCCCAUCGCGAACCCCAUGCUUCUACUUCGGGAUUGGAAUAGACUACCCCCACCUCGCCCCACCCCGCACCCGUACAGCCCGGCCCUCGGCGCAGCCCACUGCCCAGCCCUCAACCCAUGCAGCUCCCCCCCCCCCCCGCACACCUCGCCCUCCCUCCCUCACCCGUGACAGCAGCACUUGCGCCCGGCACUGCAGCAGCAUCAGCUGCAGCCGCAGGGCGCUGCCCGCAGGCGCCAGCUGCUGCGGCGCCAGGUUCACCUCAUCAGCCCCGCCGCCGCCGCCGCCGCCGCCGCCGCCGCCGCCGCCGCCGCCGCCGCUGUCGGCAGCCGCCAGAAGGCCCGCCCGCCGCUUCAGCUGCUCCACCGCCUCCAGACCUGCAGCCCGUGCAUGCGGCACGUGCAAGAAACACACGCUUGUACACCAUAUCGUGUUUUCCCCCGCGCAUAGAGAUCCUGCACUGCAUUGCUUGACGUUCACAGGGCGAAGAUGCCCGCCCGCCUCAUUCACCACAGCUCAAACCCGCACCUCCCACCCUCCCUGCCCGCGGCAGCCCCGGCGCGCCCCCUCCAGCGCCCCCGCCCUCACCCCGCUGCAGGUAGUCCAGGGUGAGCCGCGGCCUGCCGCCGCCCUGCCUCAGCGCCAGCGCCGCCACCAGGCACACCAGCGGCUCCAGGGACAUGCCCGGCAGCUCAUACGGAGCAGCCGCCGAGGCCGCAGAGCCUGUGUGCGUGUGAGCGCGCCCGGACGGCGAAAUCAGAAAGGUGCAGUGUGAGGGAGCAGCAGGUAGAAAGCAAGUCGCAGCUGCAAUCGCCCAGUGCAGCGCAUUAAGGAGCCGUGCCGUGCAUUGGGGGCCGGGCACGUGGGGAGUACAACAGUAGCACGCGGUGGUAGCAGGGAUCUCCCAGCGCUUCCAAGGGCCUCAGGGAGACAGGGACCCCGGCCUCCGCCGCCCCGCCUUGCAACCCGGUGCCACCCACCCGACUGCGCCGCCGCCAGCUGCUUCCACGUGCUGUCCAGGUUGGCGAUCAGCGGCGGCGGCGGCACCCCGGGCCCGUCUGCCUGCUCCGGCGACAGCGGCGGCUGGUUGGCCUCCUGCUGCUUGUCCUUCACCACGUCCGCCACCUUGCCCACCCGCAGCAUGUACAGCACCUGACGGCGGGAGGGGAUGGGAGAGAAGAUGUGGGAGGGGUUGGUGAAAGAAAGCGAAUCAACGCGUGUCAUUGUUAUGCAGGACUGACUUGGCCGGUACAUGCCGCACAUUCGGUGCCUUCACCCCAUGGCCAUUGGGUUACCGCCCCGCCUCACCUCCGCCCACUCACCAUUCCCGCCCACCAACUUGAUUCACACACACACACACACACACACACACGCACACACACGCACACGCACACACACAGCGCUCACACAUACAUACACACACAGCGCUUACACACACCUGCAGCACAUUGUAGUGCAGCAGCGCCAUCAGGAAGCCAGUCGACCCCAGCCCCCCGCCUCCUCCUGCCGCCCCGCCACUCCCCUCCGCCGCCCCCAGCGCCGCGUUCAGCUGCUUGAUGGCCGCGUCCGCUGCGCCGUCGUCCCACCGGUCCAGUGCCAGCUGCGCCAGCAGCAGCAGCGCCGCCACGCGCUGCGCCGCCGCGGCGCCGCCGCCGCCGGCGCGCUCCGCGAAUGCCAGUGCCUGGCCGGCGGCGGCCUCGGCCUCACGUGGCCGGCCGGCGCGGUGGUGGGCUGCGGCCUGGCGCUGUAGCAGCCGACAGGCCCACACGCACACGGCGGCCCUGUGCGGCGUGGGAUCGGGGGCACACGGCUGUUGGUGUUGGUAUUGGUGGGUGUUGCUGUUUGUGUUGGUGGUUGCAUUGAAAUGGGUAUUCUCGAUCUGGGUCGGGAACUUGCCGUUGCUUGUCUGUGACGCCCGCCCUGUACCGCCGUCCUUCCGAGCCAGCCACGCAUCCGCAGUUCUGCACCACCAACCCCGCUCCCAGGCUGCCUCUUCCAGUUACGCUCCUCCCUGCACGCGGACUGGCUUGACCCUCCCGCACGCUCACCACUCGCCGCUGCCCUGCGCCGCCUGCCACAGCUCCGAAGCAGCCGCGUACGUGGCCAGCUCCCCCGCCUCGUCGCCCAGCAGCUGCUGGGCAGCUGCCAGCCGGUCCGCCACUUCGUACUUGAGGCAGUAGCAGCCGAUGAGGCUGCGGGACAGGCUUUGCUGCAGGGGGGUCGUGGCGGGGUGGUGGUAGAGGGGUUUUUGCGCGAGGGGCAGAGGUGGCAGGCACGGUGUGGCCCUUCGGGUGCCGUGCCUGCGGCCUCUGCAUUUUAUGUUUGCAGGCCGCUGGCCCCUGCCAGCUUUGGCGCAAGUCGGCUGCAAGCCCAUGACGCUGCUAGACGGCUGCGAGCCGCCGGCGCUCACCGCGCGCAGCAGGUGGUUGCAGGCCUCCUUGACGUUGAAGGUGUGCUGCAGCAUUAGUCGUGCCAGGUUGAGGCGCGCUUUGACCUCCACGUCCGGGGGCAGCACCUGGUUGACCAGCGCGUGGUAGCAGUGCAGCGCUUGUAUGGGACAGCCAUCGUUCUCGUAGCUCGCGGCCAAUACUAUGAGCCCCUCAGCCAGCUUUUGAGCCAUGGUCGCGGGUUUGGCCCUUGGACGUGCGGCUAGUACAUGGCGAUAGAGUUAUUAAUAGCGUAGAAAGUGCAAACACAAGCCUAGACUGGAUUAGGGCGCCGCGCUGAGAAGAGUGCCGCUUCCCGCGCACAGCACGCCCCCGGAUGGGGAAACGCGCAAAUGGAGUUCUUGCCCACAACUCAAAAAGCAAUCAUUGAACUCAGUUUAGGCUGUAUUCCGAAAGAAUAAGAAAUGCGGAGCGACCGCACGGCAAGCACCAAAUAAAGUUGAACUGCCACACUCAGCGCUGUUUAGCCAGAGUAUCAAUCAUGGCGGACUUCCUACUGCCCAUUCUUUCGUAUGAUGAUGAUGAAGAUAUCAUAGAAGCCCCGGCUUCAGCGUCACAAGAAUCUAGAAUCUCGUCAUCGCCGCAAGAGAAAGCCGCGGCUGAUGGCGCAGGCGGCGCUGGCUCAGCAAGCGAACGUGGAGGAGUUGCCGCUACGGACGCUGCAUCCUCACGGUCAGAGGUGUCGGAUCCUGGGCCGACGGCGGCUGCGCCUGGCAUCGCGUUGGCGCCCCGCACUAGCGCUGGGCCCGGCACGGCAGGGACAGUGGCGGCCGGCGCCCCCAAAGACUCUGGCCCACGUAGCUCAGGAGCCUCCGGCGCGUCAUCCGCUGCUGCCAGCAAGGGCGCAGGUCAGGGCCCGGUGCAGGCCGCGGCAGGAAAGGCAUCAGCAGCGGCGAUGGGCCCGGCGGCCACUGCGCCCAUCAAUGAGGACGAGCUCCCCGCGCCACCCGCCUCCGCCUCCACCACCUCCACCACCUCCUACAACUCCACCUCCAUUUCCACUUCCACCAGCAGCACAGCCCUGGCCACCACCUCUCUCGGCGCGGUCACCGCCGCCGAGCUCGCAGCAGCCGACGCCGCCUCCGCCAACGGCGAAGCCGCCGAUGACGACGCCGACGCCACCGACGCCGACGCCGAUGACGCCGCCGACCUGGACUUUGAGGCCCGGCGGCGGCGCGCCGUGUUCACGGCCAUGCUGCUGCUGCUGGAGCGCGGCGCGGCGGACGAGGCGGCGCUGGGGCGGCUGGUGGCGCCCAUGAGCGGCGCCGAGCUGCGGGGCGUGGCGGAGGAGCGCGUGCUGGCGGGUGCGUGUGGGGGUGGGGAGUGGACUCGGUGGGUGUGGUGGGUGAGAUGCUUUAUUACAAUACUAGCUAAACCAAGACCCAGAACCAGCCCACAAAGCGUGGUGUGUGGGGGGCAUGGGUGGGGGUUAGGUGGAUGGGUGGGUGGGCGAAAGGCCGAGGACAAUCCGCUUGCGUGACUGCCAAUACUGGCUCAGCCCUUUGCGUGGCGCUAUCCCGCCCCCCCCCCCCCCCCCGCCGUGCUGGUGCAGGCAAGUGCGGCAACCCGCUGUGCAGCCGGCCGCACCGCCUGCCCUCACGGCCCACACGAGGCGGCUGGGACCCCUCCUUCGACUUCGCCGCCGCGCCCUCCCCUGCCGCCGCCGCCGCCGCCUCCUCCGCUCCAAGUGGCGGCGGCGGCGGCAGUGGCGGCGGCGGCGGCAGCGGGCACUUCUGCUGCUCGGGCUGCGAGGCGCUGGUUGAGGGGUACGCGGACGCGCUGGGUGAGGACCCCCUGGAGCGGCUGAGGCCGGGGGCCAGGGUGCUCAUGGCGGCCAGCCACGCGCCGCGCAGGUGCGGGCUUUUGAGUGGUGUGUAGGGAGCGGAUGUGCUUUGUGGCAAUAGCGAUAGGGGCGAGGGGUCGACGCCGUGUGUGCGAAAGGGUGUGCGUGUAUGGGGCGGGCCGCGCUGGUGCCCCCGUGCCCGGCAAGCUACAGAGUCGGGGCGACGGAGAUGAAAAGAACGACAUGGGGGCGGGGCAGGAGUGAUCGGGUGGCGUGUGCUGCGACCGCGAGUGGAGAGCUGUGUGGCUGGGUGGGGAGGCGACCAAAGGGGCCGCGGGAUCUGCCUGCGCAGCAUUAUGGACUCCCAUGUACGCCCCGCCCCGCACCUGUGUCCCCGACAUCACACGACGUACGACUCAUUUCACCAAAUGCGGCACUCGGCACGACGACACACGCACACGCGCCACACCCCUGCAGGCCGGCGGGCAUGCGCGACGUGGCGGCCCAGGGCGGCGGCGUGGCGACCAUGAUGAACGCCGUGGUGGAGCGCGACCCGCGGCAGGCGGCGGCGGAGGCGGCGGCGGGAGGCAGAGCCCUGGACAGGCGGGCGGCGGCGGUGACCGUGGCGGCGGCGGUGGAGCCGGCGGAGGGGGCGGCGGACGAGGCCGGAGCGGUGGCAGCGGCGGCGGCGGCGGUGGCGGCGGCGGGCGCGGUGGAGGGCUAUGUGCCGCGGGCGCGGCGGGCGGGUGGCGCAGGGCCGCGGGCGGGGCCGCGCGGCGCCUCGCCUGCUGUGGUGCUGGAGGAGGGCGAUGAAGACGGGGACGAGGACGAGGAGGUGGGCGGGGGUGAGGGUGAGGGCCAGGACGGCGGCUCCAGGGGGCGGCGGCGGCUGUCGCUGCCGGCUGCGGCGGCGGCUCCGCCCCGGCCGGCGCUGAAGAAGGAGAGCAGCGCCAAGGUGGUGCUGGGGGCGGCCACUGCGGCGGCGGUGGCGGCGGCCACGGGGGAGGCGGUGGAGCGGCGGCGCGUCAGGUUCGGACCCAAGGUGACCCCAGGGGCGCGGGAGGGUGGGGGGAGAAGGAAGCUGAGGGGGAGGGCAGGGGCAGGGAAAGGGAGAGAGCAGCUCAGGGGGGGAGGGCAGGGACUUACUGGGUGGAGUCAUGCAGGUUGGAGUUGCGGCCGGUGUGGAAGUGGACUGCGGGGACUGGCAGGCGGGGCACCGGCAUCCUAUUGCUGAGCCGUGACAGACGUUGCGUCUUUGAGAGCAAUAAUUGAUGUUGUCAUGCAUGUCGUGGACUUGCAGGUGGAGUUCUCAAUGCCGGCGGAGGCGAAGGCGUCACGCGGUGGCUCCUUCGCGGACAGGGCGGCGGCCGCGAGGGAGGCCGCCGCCGCUGCUGCGGCAUCCGCUGCCGCUGCCGCUGCUGCAGCCAGCGCGGACACUACCACAACCGCUGGCGCCCAUGGGACCGCGGCAGCUGCAGCCUCAGGCGCCACUACAGCCGCUGCAGCCGCUGCAGCCGCACCGCAGCAGCCGCUGCUGGUAUUUGACGUCGAGAACUCGGACGAAGAGGCGGGCGCUAGCGGCAACGGUGAGGCGGCAGCGGCGGCGGCGGCGUCGAGCCUGGGCCGGCAGCGGGGGCCGGCCAAAGGGCCGCGCGGCGUGCUGCGCGUGGCGGAGGCGGCGGAGGUGCUGAGGGACGCUGCAGAGGCAGACGCGGAAGCGGGUGCGGAGGAGGAGGAGAGGCCGUCAGGGAGAGCCGGCGGCAGCGGCAGUGCUGGCGACACGGCGGCGGCCGUGGGCCUGUCUGAUGCAGCCCUACCUGCAGCGGUGAACGGUGAGUGGGAUUGCGGUAGGGUGCGGCUGUGCGACUGGGGCGCAGCUGCAGCUGCAGCCAUCUCGCAUCGCACCCACGUCUGUCCCUGAAUAUCGCCUCCCCUGCCUCGGCCUCUGCUCGUGUCUGUGCCCUCAGAGGUGGCGCCACCGGGCAAGCCGCCUCGGGCGCUGCGCAUGUGGUUUCCGCCCGCCGCUGGGGGCGUCGGCGUCAGCAAGGGGGGCAAGCGCGGCGGCGCCAAAGGCGGCGGCAGUGGUGGUGCAGCGGCGUCCGCGCCGAUCCGGCCACCCGCCACCGCCGCUGCCGGCAUCGCCACCUCCACCUCCACCUCCACGACCGUGUCCACGCCAGCAGCGCCCGCUGCAGCCGCGGCCGCGGCCUCUGGCGCCGGCACCGCCGUCGGGGUCUGUGCACUGCCUGCUGACAAGCCGGCAGGGGCGGAAGCGGCACCGGCAUCGGUACUGCCCGUGACGACGGCGGUCACGCCAGCGCCCGCUAGCAGUGCAGCGGGGGCAGAUAGCGGCGCACGGGCUGCAGCACCGGCAGCAGCAACACCGUCCUUAGCACCAGCAGCAACGGCAGCAACGGCAGCAGCACCAGCCGCCGACGCCGCGGGCGGUGGGCGGCUGCGGAGGUUCCUGCCGCAGGCGCCGCCGCGCCGCAAGGUGGUUUACCUGGAGGCGGCAGUGGGGGCGCCGGCUGCGAGCAGCAGUGGGGCCAGCAGCAGCAGCAGCAGCAGCAGUGGCGGGGCAGUUGUAGGUGCUGUGGCGAGCUCAUCGGCACCUCCACGCCAGGCGCAGCAGCCGGCUGCUGCAUCACCACCACCAUCGCCAUCACCUUCAGCUGCCGCGCCCUCCCCCAACGCCGCCGCUUCCGGCGCCCCCAAGGCGCCUGGCGCCAUUGCGCCAGCAGCGCAGCCGCAGCCGCAGCCGCAGCCGCAGCGGCCCGGCGAGCCGGAGCUGCGGCCGGGGGAGCCCAGCGCGCCGCCGCGGGUGCACGUGAUCCGGGUGCCUAGCGGCAAGCGGCCCCAGGGCAGCGGCGUGCCCAUCCCGCCCGAGCAGCAGCCCUACUUCUCAGAUGAGGAGGACGAGGAGGAGGACGACGAUGAAGAUGGGGAGGGGGAGAAGCAGCGGCGCAGCCGCGAGGAGGAGUUCGUGCAUGAUGAUCGCGAUGCGGAUGAGAUGGCGGAUGAUUUGUAUUACGGCUCGCUGCGGGCGGUGGACGAGGAGGAGGACGAGCAGGCGGAGCUGGCGGCACGGGGCGGCGGCGGCAGCGGCAGCGACGGCAGUGAGGACGAGGGCGAGGGCGGGAAGGGCGGGAGGAGGGCGCGGAAGGCGUUGCCAGUGGCUGUCGCAGCGGGCGGGAGCUGUGAUCGGCCGUCCGGGGCGGCGGCGGGCGCAAAGCAGCCAGUGGCCCCGGGGCCGAAGGCGCGGGGGCAGCAGGCGCAGCAAGUGGUGGCGGCAGCGGCUGGGCCGAGCAAGGCCGGCUCCACGGGCGCGGCGGCAAAGGCAGGGACAGGGGCAGGGGCGGGGGCGGGAGCGCCGGGCAAGGCGGCGAGCCUUUGGAAGGAGAAGCGCGAGCAGCAGCGGCAGCAGGGGCUGCUGCAGCUGCAGCAACUGCAGCAAAUGACGGCGCCGGCAGCGGCAGCGGCCGCCAAGCUGCCGCAGCAGCAGCCACCGCGGCGCCAGGCUGCGGCGGCUGCCGCUGUCGCCCCCUCACCACCCGCCGCGGCGUCAGGGAGCAUCUCAGCCGGGCCAGCCAAGGGCGCUGCCAGCCAACAGGCGCCGCAGCAGGCGCGGCAGGCGCAAGCGGAGGAGCCCACAGCACAGCAGCAGUCAGAGCCGCGGGAUGCAACCAGCGCUACUGCCAGCGGCAAGGCAGUCGGAGAUGGCACUGCUACUGCCGCUGCUGCUACUACUGCCGCUGCUGCUACUGCCGCUGCUGCUGCCGUUGCUGCUACUGCUGCUGGCGAGGAGGUGGAUGAGCCGUGGCUGCUGCGUGACGACCUGGACAGCGGCGCCGACAGCGAGCUGGACGACACCGCCUCCAACGCCUCGUCAGCAGACGACUACAACUUCAAGUGUGUGUGUGUACAUGGUUGUUGGGCAUCAAAACGGAGAGACACCCGUCCGUGUGUGUGUGUGUGUGUGUGUGUGUGUGUGUGUGUGUGUGUGUGUGCAUGAUGUUUGUGGAUGGGAGGUGGGAAGCAUGCUUGCAAUGAUUGACUUCACGCAUUAUGCAAUCACAACCGCGCGCUCUAACACCUGCCCGCACACCCGCGCACACACGUACGCGCAGGGCCAUGCUGCCCUACUUCCGGCGCACCACCGCGCACUACGCCGCCGUGCUCAGCCCCUUCAACCAGGUGCAGAUGGCGCUGUGCGGCUGGACCAACGCGCGCACGGUGGCCUACGUGGUGGGCGUGGGGCUGGGGCCCAUGCAGGACCCAGGUGCGGGGCGGGGAAGGGGGAUGGGGCGGGGGCCGGGGUGCAGCUGAGCUGGGGUUGAAGCUGAGCUGGUGUUGGAGCUGGGCUGAGGAGUCCUGGAACGUGGAAGCACAUCAGGCACGGCAUCGUUCGCAUCAGCGGCAGCAGUGUGCGGGCUCAAAGCAUGGCCAGGGAUUGAGCCAGGGACAUGUGCACGCAACUUUUCAAGACCCGCCAACUUCGCUUUUUAGUCGGUUGGUUUGCACCCUGUCCACAGGCCCGGCGCUGCCGGACUCGGCCUACGCCUACGACGACGCGGGCGACGGCGGGGGCGGCGACUCCGCGGCGCGGCAGCAGCGGGCCGUGCUGCUGCAGCUGCUGGCGGCGCCGCUGCGUGAGGUGUGCGGCGGGCUGGGCGUGCGCGUGGCCGCGUCCGACGUCGACCGCAAGCUCGCGGCGCUGGUGUCCACAUUCAGGUGUGGGCGUGUGUCAGGGAGCGCAGAAGGGACCACACGCGUGUGUGUAUGUGUGUGCGUGUGUGUGUGUGUGUGUGUGUGUGUGUGUGUGUGCGUGUGAAAGAGAGUGUGUCCCGCAACCACCUCAUAUACCUCCGUCUGCCCCAUGCUGCCUGGCGCCGCCACCCUGCACCCUGCGCUGCCUCGAUGUCACCCGGCCUUGCCCGUGACCCCGCCCCUGACCCCGCCCUGCGCCUCUUCACACACACACACACACAUACGCACACACACGCACAGGCUGUCCGGGCCGGUGCCCUCCUUCAAGCCGGCCCAGUGGCAGCUGCUGGCGCUGGCGCUGCUGGCGGCUCUGUCGCGACACCACAUCCCCGCCCUGAGGACCAGCCUCCUCGCAGCAGCACCUCCCGCCACCGCGGCGGCGGGCGCGACUGCGGCUAGUGGCGCGGGCGCCGGCGACGCGGCGAGUGGCGAGGGGGCGGCGGCGGCGGCGCCGGCGGCGGCAGUUGGUGAGGGCGCAGGCGGGUGUGUGCCGCGGCUGCGCGCGGGUGCCUCCCUGCACGCCGCCAGCGCGCACCCGCGGCUGCUGGGGCUGCUGGAGCGGACGGGCUUUGACGUGCACUACUUGUCGGCCCUGGUGGACCUGAUCAGCUCGCCGGACUUCUAGACAGCAGGGGGGGGUGGCGGGGCAGGCGGGAGAGGAAGUUGUGGGGAUAGGAUGGGUUACAGAGUGUGGAGCAGGCAGGCAGGCGCAGACAGGCAGGCAGGCGCACGUUGACAGGUAGGGGCAGUGUUAAAGACGCCGUUUGUUGCGGCGCGGCGCGGGGCAAAUGCGAAAGGUGUUUUGAUGUGUGAGGACUUGGUUGUUGGACUAAAGAAAGCGAUGAAGCGGGAUUGUGUGACUAAUGGCCUGCUUGGUGCGGCGGUGCCGACACGUUGGAAACAAGUGUGUGGAGGCGCGAUCUAGGGUGGGUGGGGACGGGGCGGUGCGGGGCUGCCAACGAUGUGUUUUGCGUGAUUCCUCUGAAGCGAGCUCGGGACAUUUCUCUCCGGGGCCCUGCCUUGGCUGCUUUGCACAGUGCCGUACCGUAAUCUGCAGGAUGGCUGGGUGGCUGGUGGGCACACGACUGCCGGGCUGCGUACCGAAUGUGUGUCUGUGCUGGCAGGAUGCAUUUGCGUGGGGGUGGUUGGCGCAUCCUAGUACGCAACCGGAGUAAUCUCAACUGCUGUUGGUGGCUGUUGCGCAAGCAAUGUAGCGAUGUCGCACGGCACCCUCGCAAUCCGCAGGAGGACUCUUCUUUACUGUUGACACACAUGCACUGAUGCUUCCUCUCUGUUGGCUCCCUCGCUCUACUUCUCUCCCGUCCUGUCCGGCUCGCACUCUGGUCAAGUCAUUCGUCUCAAGCUCACAACCUCUCGAACCCUCUCAAACAUGUCAUUACAACGCACCACGUCCACCCACUCGGUUAUCAAGUCAACUUGCAUCUGUCCAGCAGCACAACACCGCACUGCCAACGCAAGCAUGAGCAGCACCCCUCACAUGCUGGAUGCGUCUCUUGCCCUUUCCCUCACCCUCGCGGCCGCUUUCCCGCAGGCCCCAGCACUGCCCCAGGCCCCUGCCCCGCCGCUCUCUUGAUCCCUGCCCCUGCCCCUGCCCCCAGCGCCCCCCCUGCCCCCGCUCCUGUCCCCCCUGCUGCUGGCGCGCCCCUGCCUCGUGCCCACUGAAAGAAGUCACAGCGGCCCUGCGGCGGCAGACCAUCAGGCCGCGCGCAGCACCAGAACUGGGGGGUUUGGGUGGCGGCGGCAGGUACGGCGGCAGGUACGGCGGCAGACGGGUGACGUUCAGUCCACCAUGGGGCGUCGGUGCCGACCACUCCGCAAACAACAUCUGCACAACGACAUGACACGCGAGACGGUGCUGCGCGCUUCCCCUCUCCUUUGCGCCUUUACCUCCAUGAACACACGCGGCAGUGAGCCCCCAAACGCACCUGUCGGCCGUUGUUCUCGCCCUUCUUUUUGACGGUGCGGAUGACGCAGGCCUCGCCGUGCCCCGGGCACCUGCAGGAGAGAGCGACACAGAGCCGCCAGGCAAGGCGGGAAGGGAGGGGGCCAUUGAAACCUAAACAGGUGGCAGACAAGCCCCUGCAGCAGCCACAGUAUGCAGCCACCCACGCACACACACCCCCGCACACACACACACACACAUACACGCAACGACGCGCCCGCUCACCUGGGUGGUUUCAUCUGGUCCUGGAUCUGCCGCCACGCCGCCGCCACCACCACAGACCCCGGCUGUUGCUGCGCCUCCGCGCCGCCACCACCUCCCGCGCCACCACCAACGACAACCGCAGCAGGCUGUGCAGCUGCUGCUGCUGGCCCUGUGUUGGUGGCUGCUACUGCCAGCGGGGCUGCUACAACCGGCACUUGUCGGCCAGUGGUGGCGCGCGGCGAGUUGGGGCUGCAGCAGUCCGGUUGCGACGCCCCUGGCUGUAGCAGCACAAACUGUGGCUGCGACUGCGGCUGUAGCUGGGCCUGCUGUGGAAGUGAUAGCCCCGGGUCUACAGGGUCCUGGGCGGUCGUGCCUGCCGCCACAGCCAUGCCUGAUGCUACUGCCGGUCCCGUUGUGGGCGUGUCCCCGGCAUCACCCGUCAGGUCAAUGGUCGGCGCGCUACAGCCGCUGCAACCACCGCUGCCGCUACAGCCGCCGCUGCCGCUCGUGAGUCCGGGUGGCAUGGAGCCGGACAUGGGGCGUAGCAGCUGCGGUUGGCUGCGGCUGCUGCGAGGCGGCACGCCCGCACUUUGCGACCCAGCAGCAGCAGUGGCAGUAGCACUGGCACUGGACGUGGAGUGCGGACCGGGGCCCGGGUGAGGCCGCAUGAACAUGGUUAGCUUGCGCUGGCUGCUGCUACUGCCGCCGGCGGCAGAUGCGGCAGCAGCACCCUUGCCGGACUUGGCUGUAGCAGCUGCGCCCAACCCAGGGCGCGGCGGCAGCUGCGGCCUGCCCACGGCACCCACAGUGCCGCCGCCAGACGGCGGCGGCGCCGCCGCAGCGGCCUCGGCAGUAGCAGUAGCAGACGCGGGCCCCGCGGUGGCGGCUGUAGCAGCGCCGGCCCGUGCCAGGCAGGACAGCAGGGUGGCUUGGCGGCUGGCGUCGAACAUGAACCGUGUGCUCAGGGCCGGCGGCGGCGGCAGCGGCUGGCUACUGCUGGCUACCGCUGCCUGAGACUGCUGCGGCUGCCCUGCCGCCGCCGCGGACGCUGCUACAGCCGCUGCCGCCGCCGCCCAUUCCUCAUCUGGCAUCUCAAGGUCCACCCACAGAGGCGCGUGAUCGCUGCCCUGGAAGUCCACCAUGAUAUCCUGCGCGACAAAGGAAGUCACACAGACUGACAACAUUUAAGGUCAGAGCCGGAGAAGCAGGGUGUAAAAAGGAGCGCAGCAGGCUCCGGAGGUCAAACGCCGCAACGGCCAUUGUGCUUGCUCCCUACGCCGCGCUCCUCUGCAUCACCGAUGUGUUUUGCAAUCCAGUGAUGCGGAGCGAAAGAGCGACAGGUAAACCGCCCAACUUACCGCGCCAACCACCCACGGCAGGCAGCAGCAGCGGGGCGUCGCUCCCUCCACGCCGCCUCCAGCGCGCGCCCCAGCCCCGGACGGACUGCUGCCAUCGCCAGGGACUGCCGGCGCCCUGCCAACUGCAGCAGCGGCGCCUGCGGCGGCAGUUGCAGCACCUGCGGCAGUAGCAGCAUCUGCGGCCGCCACUGCCUCGGCUGUUGCCGCCGCCGCCGCCGCCACGGCUCCGGGCGUGCCGUCUGCGGCCAGUAUGAGGUCGAUGCGCGACCCGAAGUUGUUGACGCGGGCGCCGGAGCUGGUGUUCCAACACGUGUAGGCGUCACGCCUAGACGAGAGGGGCGAUUGAGGGAGAGGGCACAGGGAGGCGGGAGGGGAGAGAGAGGGAGGCCGCCGUGCGCAUGUGAGCGCAGGUGCGUAGGUGCCAAGGUGCUGGGGAGCUUACUGGGCAACAUGCCGGUGUGUAGGUCGGCGGCCGCAUGCACGCACAGCUGCGAGCAUCGCUCCCGGUCACCUGACACCAACUCCUACGCACGCACACGCACACGCACACGCACACGCACACACACACACGCACCGGGUCGGGUGAAAGGCCCGGAAGGUGUCCACAAAGGGCGGCAGCGCCUGAGCCGUCUGUGGCUGCGGCGGCCGCGAGCGCGCGCCGCCGCCUCCCGCCACCCCGCCGCCCUCCCCACCACCGCCACCGCCACCACCACUGCCGCCGGGCUCAUUGCCAGGCCCGAUGUCGGACCCAGGCGAAGCUGAGCGCUCCUCCCGCGCCUCCAGAAACCCUCCAGCCCCCGCCUCCACCUCGGCUUCUGCUUGCGCCUGCCGGAGUCCGUCCCACCACCCAUUCUCCUCCUCGCUCCCCGCAGCCUCCGCCUCCGCCUCCGCAUCCUCUGCAGCUGCUUCCAGGUCGGCACUCCCCAGCCGCCACAGAGCCGCCGCACCCGCCGUCGCCGGAGCGCCUACCGCCGCCGCCGCCGCCGCCGCCGCCGCCGCCGGACCACCUGCCGCCGCUGCGCCCCACUCCGCAUCUCCGACCGAGUUGGAGCCGCCGCCGCCACGACCUGGCCCCCUCCCGCCGCCCUCCGCCCCUCCCUCUUCCCCCUCCCGCUCCCCCUCCCGCCUCUGACAUUCCCGCCCCCGCCCCCGGCCCCCGCCCCGCCGCAACAGCGUGUUUAGCCACAGCCGGUCGGGCCGGUGCGGCUCAAAGGUGCGGGGUGUGGCUCCGGCCCUGUCCGCCGCUGCGGGGCUGAUGUUGAAGUCGCCCAGCACCACCAGCCGCCGGCCGGCCGCCAGGAAGCCGUCCAGGCGGUGCUGCAGCGCCUGACGCAGUGGGAGGCGUGGGGAGGGAGGGAGGGGGUGGACACCGUGCAUGAGGGGGUGUGCGGCAGGGUGUGGUGGUAUGCGGCAAGGUGUGCAGGUGUGGUGGCUGUGGAGGUAUGGUGGGGCUGCCGCGGGUUUGGACGGCGGGUUAAGUCACCGGGGGACACACGAGGUCGCAGCGGAGGUGCGGUUGUGAGCGCCACCGCCAUCCCUCAUUCCACCUUUCCUCCUCCAGUCCUCCUCCUCGUCUUCCCCCUCCCCCUCCUCCUCCUGCAGCACACCACCGUGACAAAGACACCCCUACACAUUGACCCCGCACAUGCACACACACGCACAUACACACACACACACACACACACACACACACACACACACCCACACCCACACCCACACCCUCACACACACCCACACAACUACAACCCCCCACACACAAACCAGCCCCACCCUGAAGAAGGUCAUCUUGAAGGCGCCCCGCUCCUCCGCGCGCUCCUCACUGGUGAUGGCGGGGCCGUACACGUUGACCAGCACCAGCGCCCCGUGCUCGGUGAUCACCACACGCCCCUCGCCGUCCAGAGCCCGGAGCUCCUCGGGACCCAGGCCCAGACCGGAGCCGCGCCAGAAGCGAGGGCCCGGCGCCGCGCCCACCGCCGGCGCCGCUGCGACCGCUGAGGGUGCGGGGGCUGCUGCGCCGGCCCCUGCAUCGGGUGAUGCUGACUGCUGCAGUGGUGGCAGGGGUGGAGGUGGCUGGGGGGCGCUGCCGCAGCCGUUGCCGUUGCUCCCGGGUCCGGGUCCGGGUCCGGGUCCGGGUGCUAGCAGGGCGCCUGUGAAUCCCUCCUCCGCCGCCAGCGGCAGUGCUCCGGGCGCACGACGGCAGAAGGUGGCCACUCCCGAGUAGCCCACCCUCCCGCGGGUGAAGGCGAAGAACGACUCCCUGCGUGCCGGGGGGCGCAGGGCGGUUGGACGGGAGCUCGGGGGGGUCAGGGAGUGGGGAGGCAUGUGUGCCGGAUUGCGCUACGUGCAGUGCCCGGCCAGUCUGCCCCAGCCACACGACCUGCCCAUUUCUACCCAGCCCUCGGGCCCCCACCUCGCCCCCAUCUAUCCCCCCCGCUUGCCCCCACCUUCGCCACCCCCUCGGCCACCCCCGCUCUGCAUAGCCGCCCGGCCUCUGCCCCCUGCACCCUGCCCCCUCGCACCAGCCAUCUGCGAGCGCCAGCUCCCGCUUCAGGUCAGCCCGCGUCAGCUUGUGCUCCUGGAUGCAUAGCACGUCAGCUUCCAGCGCCGACAGGAACUUGUCCAGCGAGCCAAAGUGCGCGAUUACUCUACGGAGUCCGUUUACGUUCCAUGAAACAAUCCGCAGCCGCAUUCUUGUUUGCGUCGGCCCGUCGCGCCGAAUUGCUGAAGGCGCCUGGCGUGGCCGCACUGACCUACAUUUAAAAUCUUUAGCACCCACGCUUUGUGAUAGACUGCAGAAACGAAAGAACCUUUAUGCCCAAGAUGAGAGUUGGAUGCACCGCAUAGCGCAUGGGCGCGCCAGGGCGCGCUGCCCAAUCCGAGCUUCCAUCGUCCCCUGGCCACGACUCCGCAGCACAAACCAGGCAAAGCAGUAUGUGUAUCAGAUGCCCCGCGUUCUCAGACACAUAACACAGCACGGGGCAGCGCUGGCACGUUAGCCAUGGAUGGACCCAACGUCGGCAGGCGGGCAGGGCCAGCAAUCAGAGAGUGUUCGCAUGUCCUGGUGCUUGUAUCUUCCCAAUAGAUGAUAACACAAACAAUAAGCGGAUAGGUGCCUGCGGCCCACAGCCACGGGCAGUUGACAGACGGUUGGCACGGCGCCUGCCAGGCGCCCACACAAACAACCCUUGUGCCCCGCAUCAUCCAUCUGCGCGUACAGUGAGACUCCGGGUAAAUAAGACAACUAAGCUGCAUGAAAAGGCCAUGGAGCAAAAGCCGUUGCCGAAGGAUGGUCUCAGCCUGCUCUGAAAGGGCCAAAGGCUGUUUCGGGCCUUUUGCAUCGUGGGCAGCGACUUGAUACAGCCUAUUAUAAACCGUGAUAUACUCUCACAUGUCCAAAACCUUCAGUAGUCAAGACUCAACAUAGCAACCAUGGAGGUUAAGCUCGCUCUAAUAUCAGCGGCGCUUGCUGCACUGGUGACCGCUGUUAUCAUGCCCUAUACCGAUCCAGAGGUAAAUCAAGAGUGCAUGACUAGUUUAGGGCGUCUACUAGAAAAUGCACUCGACGACCAUGCGCCGGUGCAGCUAGUUACUUGCCGCGGCUAUUGUUGUAUCGACAAGCAAAAGCUUAUAGCCAAGCCAUGCCGAUCUCAGCCACUCGACCCCUUACCCCACGUGAGCCCCCCUUUCCUCCCGCCCGCCUGUUCCUCCUGCCCUCUGCAGAACCUCGCCAAGCUCUCGCAGCACCCCGUGGCUGGUCUAGUGCUCAACACCACCGCCGAUGCCUUCUACGCCUUCGGCACCUGGGUCGGCGGCGGCGACGGCGACGACCCCGCCGCCGGCGGCCCCAGCCUCCGCGACUACUACCCCCUCACGCUGCCGCCGCGCGACCCCGUCAGCGGCAGCGCGCGGCAGCGGCAGCAGCAGCAGCGGCGGCGGCGGCGGCGCGUGGUGGAGCCGGAGCUGGAUUGGGCUGACCCGCGUGUGUGGGAGGCGCAGACGCUGCAGGCGCGGGUAGCGGCGGCGGGGGCGGGGGCGGGGGAGGGGGAGUCGCCAUACUACAGCGCCACCGACAUUGACACGCUGCUGGGCUGGUGCGGCGACCUGGCCACAAAGGCUGCAGCAACCGAGUCCACAACAGAGCCUACAACAGAAUCCGCAGCUGUAUCCGGAUCCGCAGCUGCAUUAGGAUCCGAAUCCGCAGCUGGGGCUGGAGCCGGUGCUGCGGGUGCCGCUGGCGGAGCUGCGGGCGGCGGCGGUGCGGGUGCGGGCACGGACGCGGCGGCGGCGGUUCACUUCCGUGCUCUGGUGCGGUGGCUGGCGGCUGCGGGCGGGGACGCCAGCAAGGUGGCGCCGGGGGUGGACGGCAGCGGCGUGCGCGGCCUACACGUGAGUGGGGGCCUGGGGGGUGGGGGGUGGGGGGCAGGAGGGGGUGGAGGGGGUGGAGGGGGUGGACAGGGGGUGGAGGGGUCGCGAUGCCUCGAUCUUCUUAUGCCAGCGGUGCUCCUUGCGUUUGGGGUCCCUUCAUUCCUCUAGGUUUGUGUGCUGGCACUCCCCCCCCUCCAAACAAUCCCCCCCUGCCGCCUGCAGACUCGUGUGGACGUGGCUGAGGGCGAGACGGUGUUGUCGGUGCCGCUGAGCCUGGGCCUGUCCAUUGCCAGCUUCAGAGCGGGUGCGGCGUGCGGGGCGUGUGCGGGGCGUGUGGUUGAGAGAUGGGGAGGUGGCGAGGUGGAGGCUGGGCGACGGGAGGAAUGCUUCUCAGUCUCGGAUUGGGCGCCCUGAUCUAUGCCACAUCCCUUAUCCCUCCCACCUCCUCCUUCCCUCCAUCCCUCCCCUUCCCACCUUCCUUUCCUCCCACCUUCCUCCCCUCCCCUUCCCUCCCCUCCCCUUCCCUCCCUCUCCACCCCCCCUGCAGCCCGCUACGCCGCCGCCGCCGUGACGGGCUGGUCGCGGCAGCCCUCUGCCGACCUGUUCCUGGACCCGCUGGCGCUGGCCUACGAGGCGGCGGUGCACGGCGCGCGCUCGCCCUGGGCGCACUACCUGUGCCUGCUGCCCAGGAGCUUCCCAGGACUGCCCAUGCACGCGGGGUGGGUGCGGGCCUGCGGGGGCGGGGGACAGGAGGAUGGGGGCGAGGGGUGGUGGGGAGUGGGGCAUGCGGCAUGUGGGGGAGGGGCAGGCGCAGGGUGAUGUUGUCGUAUCCCACACAGUCCACAUGCCCCUUGUGCUCCCUUCUCACACACACACAUACACAUAUACACACACACACACACACACACACACACACCGUAAACCGUCGCUUUGCUGCAUCGCAUACACUGUCUUUGCGCAAUGUUUUCCUUGUGCUCUUUAACACACGCACACACACACACACACACACACACACACACACACACACACACACACACACACACACACACACACACACGCACACAGGCUGUCUGACGCGCCGCUGCUGGCCCCCCUGCCGGGCCUGCGCCGCCUGGCCGCCAAGCGCCGCGCCGAGGUGGCCCUGUACGGCAGCGCCCGACUGGCCCGGGCCGCGCUGGCGGACAUGCCCGGAGGCCGCGCCGCGCUGCUGCGACUGGCCACCGCUACUGCCAACAACACGGCGGGCUCCGGCAGUAGCAGCGGCAGUGGCAGUAGCAGUGGCGGCAGUGGCAGUAGCAGCAGCGGGCGGGACCUGUGGAUGUCGCUGUGGCACUGGGCCUACGCGGCCGCCAAGACGCGCACAGUCAGUGUGGCGGCGGCGGAGCUGCGGGCGGGCGGCGGCGUCGGCACGCCCGGGGAGGACAAGCUGGGGCCCAUCAAGGUGCCGGUGGCCAUUCCCGAGUGGGCGGAGGUGAGAGCAGGGGGGCGGCCUGCUCAGCGGCUGCACUGCUGCUUGUGGUGACGGUGGUGGUGGUGGUGGUUGUGUUUGUUGGGUUUGUUGGGUUGGUUAGAACGCGAAGGCGCGGUUGCAAGCCAUUUGCUUGCAGUCACUUCGCCACCCUUCCAUUGUCUCUGACCGUCCUUUCGUUCUAAGCAUGGCCACAACCCUGCCCCCGUGCCCCGCCACCCCGCCCCACCCCGGGCCCCACCCCUUCAGGAUUUCGGCGUGAUGAUGCCGGUGUUGGACCUGGCCAAUCAUGCGUUCCUGGGCGAGGGCGCAAACGUGCUGUACGAGGUGCGUGUGGCCGCGUGCGUGUGUGUGUGUGUGUGUGUGUGUGUGUGUGUGUGUGUGUGUGUGUGUGUGUGUGUGUGUGCGACCGUCUGAGACCUCAAACCCCCGGUUGGGACGAAGGACUAAGCAGCCGCACCCUGCCCCACCCGCCUGCCCCGCUCCGCCACUCCGUGCUGCCACAGAUCCUGCCACCUAGCAACCCCGGUGACGGCUGGGCUGCGGUGCUGGUGGCGGCUCGCCCCAUCGCGGCCGGCGAGCCGCUGUUGUUUGACUACGUGGCGGGGGCGGAGGACGGCCCCAGCGGCCUGACGUGCACGGACAGGUGCGUGUGUGUGUUAAAGAGCACAAGGAAAACGUUGCGCAAAGACAGUGCGUGUGUGUGUGUGUGUGUGUGUGUGUGUGGUGGGUGGAGGGCGGGAGAGGGUGUGCUGCAUGGUGUGUGGGAAGGGUGCGGACGUCGCAGCUGCAGCGGAUGAGGUUGCACUGUUGCACGGGAAAAGUAGGGCUGAUGCGGAGCUGAACGUAUUGUGCAUGUGUACUCUGUCUCUCUCUGUGUCCCGCCAGGUGGCUUGAGGAGUACGGCUUCAUGCCGCACUCCUCCGACCCGCACCGCGAGUGUGACACAUUCGACAUCAGCCGGUCACAGCUAGCCGCCGCGCUGGCGCAGCUGCUGCCCGCCGCCUCUGGCGCCGCCGCCGCCGCCUCUGCAUCUACCGGCGACUCCCAGGGAGCGGCCGCGAGAGCGGCCGCGGGCGCGGCCGCGGGGGCGCAGGCGGGGUCGGGGCCGAGUGAGGCGCUGCUGGCGGCGCUGGUGGAUGCCGGACUGGCACGUGUGGCGCACGUGCCACCCAGCGCCGCCUCCUGGCCCAGCCCCAACACGGCCGGCGGCGCGGCGGCGGCGCCGGCGGCUGACCCGUCCUCGCCCCCGCGUCUGGAGGUGCUGGUGCGGGCGCCCAGUGCGGAGGAGGUGGAGGAGGGGUCGGGCAGCCACGUGCGGCAGCGGUGGGUGGUGCUGUCGUGGCUGGCGGAGGCGCUGCAGGGCGCCGCGGAGGCGGCGGAGGCGACGGAGGCAGCGCAGGUGGAGGCAGCGCAGGUGGAGGCAGCGCAUGUGGAGGCAGCGCAGGUGGAGGCGGUGGAGGCGGCGGGGGCGGGGCGGGCGUUGGCGGCGGGGCUGCGGCGGCUGAGUGACGAGCCGGAGGAGGUGUUGGCGGCGCUGCUGGAGGUACGGCGGCGGGAGCUGCUGCAGCUGGAGGCGGCGGCGAGGGUGGGGCCGGGGGCGAGCGGGCCUGGCGGGGAGCUGCGGCGGGGGGUGGUGGGCGUGGCGGAGGUGGCGCGGCGCGCGGUGGACCGGGCGCUGGCGCAGGAGCGGGCGCGCAUAGCCAGGUAGCAGCUGGUGGGGGGCUGACGGGGGCAGGAUUGGGCGGGGUCGAGGUAGGAAAGUUUUGACGCGGGGGUGGAUAAGUUGGUGGCGCAGGAGCAGCCUUGGGCCAAAAUGCUCGGCAGGAAGAGGCCCGGCCUGCACGGGAGAAGGGUAACAGUCGCCAGAGCGGGGCCCGGCGAGACAGGCUUAGGCACUGGCUGCUGGAUAUAGCUGCAUGCUGAACGGCCACCGCUUAUGCCAAAGUGCCGGAGGGCCGAACGAGGGCCGAACCCUCUUUCCGAGUCAGGAUGCCCGAAAUGAAGUGUGUAUGGCUUGCCGCCGGGCCGAGCAGCUGAGCAACCCGGUCGCGAUGUAUAUUGCAAGCUUAGUAAGCUGGUAACCUAGGCCUCAUAGACCGAACGCAAAGAACGCAAAGCGACGGAACGGUUGGUCGUGUUAUCUGCCAGCUAUAGAAACCGCUUUUUGGGAGGCGGGCAGACGCAUGCAGCUGAGCAGGCAUCGAGUAUAGUACCGCAUUAGCGCAUGUUGUAUCAUAUAUACAGAGAACCUCAGCUGCGCCGACUGAGCCCAUUUAACGUGACUCGCUAGACAUCCGCGACCAGCCAUGGCGCGCUCAAACACACCGCCGGUAAAAGCUAUCAGGUGGCACCUGAUGGAAGUAUGUCUUGCUAUUUUGCUGCUGGGCACAGUCGCUAUGGCAAAGGGGCCAGUUGCCGCGCCCGAUAAGCCCAUUCGCGUGUGUGUCCUGGACUCCCCGCCCACGGUGGGGCUCAAGAACGGUGUCAAGCUCAACGAUGGUCAGUCGCUGACGCCAAGCGCUGCCAAGGACAACCUGCAAGGCAUGGGAAUCGAUAUGGUGGUGAGCGUCGGGGCGCGGAUGCCAUCCGCAGCUAGGGCUGGCGGUUCUGUGCGGCGCGAUCGCUGCCGGGCGCAUUUGCAUCGUUGCUAUACAUUUAAUUGGCGUCUUCAUGUGAACGCGCUACAUGGCGAACCGUUUUAGCCAUCACGGAGUUGACCUUUUUGUCGGGCACGUCGCGUGCCGCUGACGCCCGUUCCCAUGCCCUCGUGUGCCCCUUGUCGCUGCCCCGCGCGGCCGCGCCCCUUGUCGCAGGACGUCCUGUUUAACCAGAUCCUUAAGUGGAACUUCACAAUUGUCUACUACACCUUCGCGCAAAUGGGCUUCUCGCGCAUUCUCUACGACGUCCGUGUCCAGGAGAACUGCGAUGGUGGGAGACGUGGCACGCGUGCCCCGGCGCUCGCUCGUGCACCAAGACUUUUUUUGCCGAACCCACCCACGUCCCCAUUCCCGCAGCUGCUGCCUUCGAGUACCGCUAGACGCUGACCUCGUGCAUUGCCGCCUUCAGUCCUUGCCUCCCUGCCCCCUCUCACCUUCCUUCACCUUCCUGUUUCCUUGUCCUGUCUCCUCCUACCUCCUCCCCACAUGCAGUUGCGGUUCAGUCGUUUUUCAUCUCCGCAAGUCGCGACCUGUGCACCAAGGCCUGCCCGCUGCCCGACAACAGCACAGUGCUGCAGUCCGACUCAGACUACGAAAAGGUGUGUGGGAGAGACACAGGUGGUGCAGCGUUACGGAAGGAUGGAUGUUGGGGACGGGAGCCCGCCCCAUGCUCUGCUGUUGCUCUUGCUCAUGCCCCUUCCCUGACUCCGGCACUGCUGCCGCCCCUGCUGCAUACAGUUCGCGUGCUGUGUGGAUUUCUCCCAGCCCUUCUACGACGGCGGUUGGACCAUCACCUCAAAGAUCUCCGACGGUUCCAACGGUUAGUGGGGGCGUCGCCGGAGCGAGGCAUCCCCAUCCUGCCUGCCACUUGCGCACCCCUGAUGAGCACGCAGCAGCCCUGACGCAGGACCCUACCUCUCGCACACACCCUUACUCACGCGCCCACCUGCUACCCCUCCCCGCCCCCUCCCCUUCCUGCUUGCCCCGCCGCAGUCAACUACUUCUCCGUGUUUUUCCAGCGUGACAUUGUGCACAUCAUCGCCGUCGCGGUGAUCACCACCUUUGUCAUUGCGCACGUGGUGUGGCUGGUGGAGCGAUGGGGCCCAGGCCACGUGUGGGUCGAGGAAGAGGUGCGGGAGAGCAGGACGGCGCAGGGGAAUCAACCCAUAUGCACACACGUGUACCGUGCCCAUCCAAAUGGACACUCGCUUACUCGCGCACACGCCCUUCACAUUCCGUACAUACUUGCUUGCCCUCCUUCCACAUCUUCCGUCCAGGAAGCACUUUAUUGCUCACCACCCGCGUUUCCAACCCAUUCACUGCUGCAUGCAGGACGCUGUGGUUGACCCCAACUCCGACCUUGCCUCCAGCGCCUUCUCCAGCAAGUACCUGGAUGCGCUACGUGACGGCGUGUGGUUCUCAUCCAACGUGCUGCUCAACGGAGUCAUUGCGCCCGAGAAGCGCAUCCGCACGCCGCUCGGCCGACUGAUUAUCACUGUGUGGGUGAGUUGUGCGUGUUGUGCGCGCGAGGGUGCGGCGUGGCAAGACCCGCCGGCCGCGGGAGUGUUGAGCUUGACCCAAUGACCCUUCCUGUGCGCAUGCAGUCUACAAUUGUCCCUUGGGCUCUGUCGUGCAUCUAGCUUUAUCCUAAUGCCCUCUGUCCACACACGCACACAUACUGCCGGGCAAGGCUACAUUUGUCGCAAUAGCAGUAUAGGCUAGUGUAAAACACCGUGCGCACCAUGGUAUGGGUCCCCUUCAAAGUAGUUCGCGUCACUGUUCGCGUCUCGGCACUCGCGUCACGAUACGCGGUCAGACGCCCCCUGACGCAUCCUGACGCGCUGAGACGCGCCGAGACGCGAUUUUCCCGUCGUUACAGUGCGCAGUGUCCCUUGGGCACUCAUCUACACACCCUCACCCUCUUCCAACGCCCUCUCCCCAACCACACACUUGUGCGCAGGUGCUGUUUGGCAUCUUCCUGAUUUCGUUCGUGACCUCCAUUAUCUCGUCCACGCUGACGACCGCCCAGCUGUCAGCCAGCCAGAUCCUAACCGCUAACGACCUGGCCGGUCGCACGGUGUGCCUGGAGGAGGGUGAGCCAUACGCGCAUGUGCCGCCAUUCUCAUGCAGUCUAUCACUUCGCCCCGCGCCCUUCCACCGCCUCAUCCCUUCCCUCCUCUUUCCACUCAUCCGCUCGCUCAUCCCACUAGGCUUUUACAACUUCUUCUUUGACUCCAACUUUCCUGGAAUCGGCGUGUCCAAGGUGCUCGUGCCGCACCUCUCAGACUGCUUCGAGGUGAGCACGCACGCAGACUGGACUGCAACCUUCGGCCCUUCCCUCCUUCCAAUAUACACGCGCCAACCGGCCACCUCUUCUCCUCAAUCCCAACCCCCUCCCUCAUCAGGAGCUCAAGGGCGGCAGUGCCGAGGCCGUGUUUGGCGUCCGUGACUACUCCAUUGACUACUUCUCCCAGGGCAAGGGCCGCGGUCUGCUGGUCUCGCCCACCAUCUACCCGCAGCCGUACGGCAUGGUCUGGUCGCAGAGCUGGGAGUACGGCAGUGCCGUGAACGAGGCACUGCUGCUGUACCGCGAGGUGAGGGGGCUAGUAGCGUGUGUUCAUGUUGUGCUCUAUCAAAGCCGCCUUGCCUGGCGCAGCCCUGCUACCCUGCCAUAACUCGUCACGACACGCGCCCGUGCCGUACCCGUGUUUACCCCACCCCACCAGGACGUGUACGCCACCACCCCCUCCUACCGCGACUCCAAGCGCCGCUGGUACGCCGGUGAUGCCAGCCAGAUCGCCUACGGAGGCACGGCCAAGCAGGCACAGAAGGUGAGAGCGGAGGUGGCGUGCGUGUGUGGAUGGGCUCAAGAAAGAUCGAUGUGUGCACGUCUGGGUUUCUUGACUCGGAUUGCCCUGCAAUCACCCGGCCGGCCUCUCUUUCUUUUCGCAUGCGGUAUGAUAACAUCUUCCCACCCCUUGCGUGUGCGUGCCCCGCUUCCCUCCUCCCUAUGAUCCAGGUUUGGAACUGGGCCCUGGUGUACACGGCUGUGGGCCUGGUGGCGGUGUACGUGUGUCUGCAGGUGCUCGUGUACAUCGGCGGCCGCUUCGCACACGACGCGGCAGACGACGAGGAGGAUGUGGCUGCCACCGGCAGCGGCGACCUCCGCACCGACUCCGGCCACAGUGGCGCCAGCCUCACCCGCGCCAAGUCCGUCAAGGCCGCGCUUGGCACCUUCGCCAGCAAGAUGACGGCACGCCAGCCCUCCACCCGCGUCACGCCCAACCACUCCACCGGACAGAUCGCCACCCCCUCCUUCACCGCACGCCAGAUGAUGCUGAGCAGUGGUGUAAGCGAGAAGGCGUUGAUGAUGGCUUCGCAGCCAUCUCUCAGCACCAUGGGCAGCCAGAUGCUACCACUGCCCGGCAUGGGCAUGGGCAGCGGCUCCGGCGGUGGCGCCGUGCCGGCUGUUGUCAUUCCCAGCAACCGUGCCCAGACACUGGGCAGCGGUGGCGUGCUGAAGACUGCGAACGGCAGCGUCGGUGGCAAUAAGGGCAACGGCGUAGGUGGCGGUAGCAGUGGCGGCGUGCGCAGCCCCAGUUUCAUGCUGCGGAGCGCGGCUGGCAGCGCCAGCCGUGUGCGCAUCGUGACUGAGACCAGCAACCGAGUGGAGGACUUCCGGCAGGAGGAGGACGGCGGCGGCGGAAAGCAGAGCGUGUGAUUGAUGAGCUAGACAUGCAUGAUGGCGAGCGAGCGGCCUGCGGGGAGCUGCUGUUGCUGUGGUACUGGAUGGGUUGCUCCGGUGUGCGUGCGUGAGUGCGUCUGUGAUGAGGCACCGGUGGGUGUGGCUGGCAGGUGUGAACGCCGUACGAAGCAAGGGUUCCUAAUUGCGUGCAAUUGUGACGGCAUGCCAGUGGGCACUUGUAAUUCAUGGGAUGCGGAUUCAACCUCACCUACCCCCCAGUGUAACAGGUCCCCCAACCAGAUAAUGGCUGGGGUCCAAAGGUUGUGUCAAUUUGGGACACUGCCCAAAACUGAAGUGAGCCCGGGUUGCUGCUGCUGCUGCUGCCGUGCUGCUGCAUGUCGAUCGAUGACAGCUAGCAGUCAGCAGGCAAG
This 39046-nucleotide long non-coding RNA is filed under the name Chlamydomonas reinhardtii. RNAcentral's name for it is "long non-coding RNA (CREI_LNC001020)". The record is from RNAcentral. Lineage: Eukaryota; Viridiplantae; Chlorophyta; Chlorophyceae; Chlamydomonadales; Chlamydomonadaceae.